GCGCUGCUAAACAUGCAAGUCGAAGCGGACGAGAACGGAGCUUGCUCCCGGAUGUUAGCGGCGGACGGGUGAGUAACACGUGGGUAACCUGCCUGUAAGACUGGGAUAACUCCUGGAAACCGGAGCUAAUACCGGAUAGUUCCUUGAACCGCAGGGUUCAUGGAUGAAAGACGGUUUCGGCUGUCACUUACUGAUGGACCCGCGGCGCAUUAGCUAGUUGGUGGGGUAAUGGCUCACCAGGGCCACUAUGCGUAGCCUACCUGAGAGGGUGAUCGGCCACACUGGGACUGAAACACGGCCCACACCCCCACUGGAGGCAGCAAUAGGGAAUCUUCCGCAGUGGACGAAUGUCUGACCGAGCAACGCCGCGUGAGUGAUGAAGGUUUUCGGAUCGUAUAGCUCUGUUGUUAGGGAAGAACAAGUGCGAGAGUAACUGCUCGCACCUUGACAGUACCUAACCAGAACGCCACGGCAAACUACGUGCCAGCAUCCUCGGUAAUACGUAGGUUGCAAGCGUUGUCCGGAAUUAUGGGGCGUAAAGGGCUCGCAUGCUGUUUCUUAAUUCUGAUGUGAAAGCCCCCGGCUCAACCGGGAAGGGUCAUUGGAAACUGGGAAACUUGAGUGCAGAAGAGGAGAGUGGAAUUCCACGUGUAGCGGUGAAAUGCGUAGAGAUGUGGAGGAACACCAGUGGCGAAGGCGACUCUCUGGUCUGUAACUGACGCUCAGGAGCGAAAGCGUGGGGAGCGAACAGGAUUAGAUACCCUGGUAGUCCACGCCGUAUACGAUGAGUGCUAAGUGUUAGGGGGUUUCCGCCCCUUAGUGCUGCAGCUAACGCAUUAAGCACUCCGCCUGGGGAGUACGGUCGCAAGACUGACACUCAGAGGAAUUGACGGGCGCCCGCACAAGCUGUGGAGCAUGUGGUUUAAUUCGAAGCAACGCGGAGAAUCUUACCAGGUCUUGACUCCUCUGACACCCUAGAGAUGGGGCUUUCCCUUCGGGGACAGAGUGACGGGUGGUGCAGGUUGUCUUCACCUCGUGUCGUGAGAUGUUGGUUAAUCCCGCACCAGCGCACCCUUGAUCUUAUUGCCGCCAUCAUUUGGCCUCUAAGUGACGCCGUUACAACCCGAGAAAGUGGGGAUAACUUCCAUUAUCAGCCCCUAUAACCGGGCACCCCUUGUUCAUGGAGAAAAAAGGGUGCAGACCGCCGGUUAACCACCCCUAAUUUUUCUUUUUU
This 1234-nucleotide ribosomal RNA is filed under the name Bacillus safensis. RNAcentral describes it as "bacterial SSU rRNA". It matches the Rfam family "Bacterial small subunit ribosomal RNA", at positions 42 to 1293 of the family's 1533-position model. The record is from RNAcentral. Lineage: Bacteria; Bacillati; Bacillota; Bacilli; Caryophanales; Bacillaceae.